RNAcentral lists this ribosomal RNA (468 nucleotides) under uncultured bacterium. Its description in RNAcentral is "partial 16S ribosomal RNA". It matches the Rfam family "Bacterial small subunit ribosomal RNA", at positions 28 to 507 of the family's 1533-position model. The record is from RNAcentral.
GACGAACGCUGGCGGCGUGCUUAACACAUGCAAGUCGAACGGAAAGGCCCUGCUUUUGUGGGGUGCUCGAGUGGCGAACGUGUGAGUAACACGUGAGUAACCUGCCCUUGACUUUGGGAUAACUUCAGGAAACUGGUGCUAAUACCUGAUAUGAGCUCCUGCUGCAUGGUGGUGGUUGGAAAGUUUCGGCGGUUGGGGAUGGACUCGCGGCUUAUCAGCUUGUUGGUGGGGUAGUGGCUUACCAAGGCUUUGACGGGUAGCCGGCCUGAGAGGGUGACCGGCCACAUUGGGACUGAGAUACGGCCCAGACUCCUACGGGAGGCAGCAGUGGGGAAUAUUGCACAAUGGGCGGAAGCCUGAUGCAGCAACGCCGCGUGCGGGAUGACGGACUUCGGGUUGUAAACCGCUUUCGCCUGUGACGAAGCGUGAGUGACGGUAAUGGGUAAAGAAGCACCGGCUAACUACGUG